Cinara cedri is the source of this 740-nucleotide non-coding RNA. Lineage: Eukaryota; Metazoa; Arthropoda; Insecta; Hemiptera; Aphididae. The record is from the annotation of a GenBank genome assembly.
AAAAAAAAUCCUGCGUGCGCUACUGAACCUAUUAAUCAAACUUAAAGAUAGCAUUAACUGUGCAACAUUGGCGCUAUUUUUUCGAUAUUUUAAUUAUUAAUAGAGAUUAUAAGUUUAGUUGUGUGAAAUAUUACAAUUUAAGAAUAAUGAUAUUCACUUUAAAAUAAAAUAUCAAAAAAAAAAUGGCACCAAAAAAGCACAGACAAUGUUCUUGUUUGUAAGUUUGAUAAUAAGUGAAUUCACUCCAAUAUUACAAUUAAUACCACAAAUUUGUUCCUGCUGAAUUGUUAUAUCGUGUGUGAUGAGACGGAGACAGUAUUUGUGGGUAUCACGUUCUCUUAAAUUUAAACUUGCUUAUUUCGUGCAUGUUCUUUUUGUAUAAUACCUACCAGUUAUUUAGUAUUGUGUUAAGUUAAAGUGAUUUAUACAAAAUGACCUAUAUUAUAAAUAAAGCUUAUCAAAAAAAAAAAAAAUACAUAUAAUAUAUAUGUUAUAAAAGUAUCAAUUAUAUGUUGUCUUAUGUAAUAUUAAUGUAUUUCAUUAUAAAUUUAUAAAUUAAAUAUUAAUUAUGGUUAGUAUAAACUUUUAAAAUCACAUUCAUUUAACUUAACACAAAAUUACUCUAUAAGUUAAAGCAGGCAUGUCAAACUCAAAGUAUGACUGACCAAAAUAUGUGUAAAAAAGUUUGGGAGGCACCAAAAAAAAUGAAUUCUAAUAUAAUAAAAUGUAUUGAUUACCGG